RNAcentral lists this ribosomal RNA (1278 nucleotides) under Eisenia andrei. RNAcentral describes it as "16S ribosomal RNA". It matches the Rfam family "Bacterial large subunit ribosomal RNA", at positions 440 to 2831 of the family's 2925-position model. The record is from RNAcentral. Lineage: Eukaryota; Metazoa; Annelida; Clitellata; Crassiclitellata; Lumbricidae.
AGUUUACUUCGCAUACCCACUAUAAUCUUACAAAACAUAACUAAUCAAAAUAAUAUAAAAUCAAUCCAAUUUCAAACAAAAAAUUAAUGAGUACUAUAAAGGAAAUAAAAUUUUUAACUUAAAGUAGUGAUAUUUCACGUACCUUGUGCAUUAUGGUUUUACAAGCCAAAAAUUUAAAAUUCUAUCCCGAAUCCUACGCGAGCUGUUCAUCUAUAGCUAAGAGCCCACUACUAGUUGUAGCACCAACUUUAGAAAAUACCUGAACAGAGGCUACAUACCAUGCGCGCUAGAACAUUGCUGGUUUUCAGCUAAAUUUAUAAAUUAAUACAUAUAAUAAAAUUAUACUGUAAGAUUUCAGAGGAUAAGCCCUGUAAUCCUAAGCCAAUAUUCUCAUAUUAAACUACGUAGGCUUAAAACCAGCCAUCGACAAUACUUUACCGUAUAAUAUCUUUAAUAAAUUAUAUCCUGUGCCCCAUAAAGCUGAAAUUUAAGAAAAAUUAAAAAUCUUAAACUAAUCUGUAAAAAUAAGUAUUAGUAAAUCACCUAAAUUCUCCUCAUGAACCUCCUAAUUUACCACCCAUAUAAACACUUAUAAAGGAACUCGGCAAAUAUUAUUUCGACUGUUUAACAAAAACAUUGCUUCUUGCAUGCUCUGAUAAGAAGUAAUUCCUGCCCAGUGAAUAAAUUUCAACGGCCGCGGUAUCCUAACCGUGCAAAGGUAGCAUAAUCACUUGCCCAUUAAUUGUGGGCUAGAAUGAAAGGACUAACGAAAUAAAAACUGUCUCUAUAAGUGACAUAAAAAUUAAUCUCUAACUGAAGAUUGUUAGAUAUCGUCGAAGGACAAGAAGACCCUAUAGAGCUUUAUUUUAAUAAAUAACUAUAAUUUAUAUAAAUUCGGUUGGGGCGACCAGGGAAAUUAAAUAUCAUCCCUUAAUAGCAGAUAACUCAAUCACACACUUGACCCUUUACCAAAGAUCAUCAAAACAAGCUACCUUAGGGAUAACAGGCUAAUCCCACUAAAGAGUCCUUAUCAAUAGUGGGGUUUGGCACCUCGAUGUUGGCUUAGGGAAUCUAUAUGGCGCAAAAGUCACAUAAAGAUGGUUUGUUCAACCAAUAAUACCCUACAUGAGCUGAGUUCAGACCGGCGUAAGCCAGGUUAGUUUCUAUCCUCGAUAAUACAUCUAUUUACAGUACGAAAGGACCUAAAUACGGAUAAUAAUUAUAUGUAAAGAACCAAUAUAAAAUAAUGUAAACAACUAUACACCUAUACUAGGUAAU